GACAUUCAAUAGAUAGUUCUCUUGUGUCACCGCAAGAACUGUUACAUAUUCGACGCAAAGCCGAUUGAUGUCUACGUUCAAACAGUUAACAUAGUCAAGAAACAAAGAAAUACUUACUAGCCAACCUCAAGCUGUUCACAAUAACUUAAGUUGGAGAAGCAGAAAGCGUUGAAGAAAACAUUGAAGAAGCAAGCUAAGAAACUCGCUACAGUAUUUUAGUCCAUUUUGCGGAAGCAAGGACAUUUCUGAAAGAAUCUGUUUUCGAGAAUGUUAUGAGUUGUUGUUGGAGAUACAGAAACAUUUGAUAAGGUGGCCCUGCUGAUAACGAGAAAAUUCGCGUUGGUUAAAUUCGUUUUUCCAGGACCAAAAGGAACUGCUCAAAGUAAUUCACAGGAAAUCGUCCAAUCAUCUUUAUUUCAUAUACAGAAAUUCAUUACUUGCUCCGCGUUGUCCAGAAUCCGUCACCUUGGAAAUAAAGUUCRGGAAGCGGYUAAAACAAGAAGCAACGAAAAAACCGUGUCCAGAGAUCUCUAGCGCAAAUUGAAAUCAGCAUCAAAAUCCACCGCUACAGAAGACCAUAACAGAAUAAGUUGCCGCUUUAGGACUAUAUCACAAGUCAGACUGAUAAAUAUUGACAGUAAAUAUGAAUGGUUCUACUGCAAACCAAACGCAUCAACCUAACCUCGAGAUUUCUUUUAUACCCUGGGCGUUUUUUAACGCACUGAUAAUUGUAUUCGGUAGUAUUGGGAAUGUAUUGGUGGUUUUGGCCUACAGGAACCCUCGUAUGAAAACAGUCACAAAUCUAUUUAUUGCAAACUUAGCUUUUGCUGAUUUAAACGUUGUUCUUAUAAA
Long non-coding RNA from Exaiptasia diaphana, 852 nucleotides. RefSeq lists it as uncharacterized. The record is from RefSeq and is a predicted model, not a curated record. The transcript is spliced from 3 exons. NCBI's taxonomy places the organism in Eukaryota, Metazoa, Cnidaria, Anthozoa, Actiniaria, Aiptasiidae.